Molecule: long non-coding RNA, 484 nt
Filed under: Pongo abelii (Sumatran orangutan)
Lineage: Eukaryota; Metazoa; Chordata; Mammalia; Primates; Hominidae
Description: lincRNA
Source: RNAcentral
AAAGUUUAUACCUGCUUGUGGGGACAUGAGUGAAGAAAGAGAGGGGACUUUGAAACAGGAGAAGAGAGCAAACUCAAAAGGUUUUUCAUGGCAGCAUGUGACAAGGUGAUGCUGAAAAAUUUAUAUGGAAAUUCAAAGGAUCAAGAAUAGCUGAAACAUCAUUGAAGAAGAACAAGGUGGGCUGAACUCACUCUACUAGAUAUCAAGAUUUAUGAGCAACUACAGUAUUUAAGACAGUGUAGUAUCGGCACUGGGAGAGACAUAAAAAACAAAAAGGAAAAAGAGCCCAGAGACUGACUUUUGUGUAUGCGGACAGUUUGUUUAGGAUGAAAGUACCACUGCUAUGCACUGUGGGAAAAUGUCCUCAAAGAAUGACACUAGGGCAAUUGGGUAUCCCCAUGUAAAAACAAUUAACCCCAACCUCACAUCACACACAAAACUUAACUCCAUUUGGGGUAUAUACUUAAAUGGAAGGUAAAACUAU